AUCCCAGUUCCAUUCACAGUUUACCCCAGUCCCUCCCAGUUUACCCAGUCCCAUUCCCAGUGCUCCCAGUCCCUCCCAGUUUACCCAGUUCCAUUCCCAGUCCCUCCCAGUAUCCCCAGUAUCCAUUCCCAGUCCCUCCCAGUUUAUCCCAGUCCAUCUCAGUUUACCCAGUUCCAUUCCCAGUCCAUCCCAGUAUCCCCAGUUCCAUUCCCAGUCCCAGUCCUCCCGGUCCCUCCCAGUUUCCCCAGUUUAUCCCAGUUCCAUUCCCAGUCCCUCCCAGUUCACCCAGUUCCAUUCCCAGUUGCUGGCUGUCCAUUCCCAGUAUCCCCAGUCCCUCCCAGUUUACCCAGUUCCAUUCCCAGUCCCUCCCAGUUUACCCAGUUCCAUUCCCAGUUUAUCCCAGUCCCUCCCAGUCCCUCCCAGUUCACCCAGUAUCCAUUCCCAGUCCCUCCCAGUCCCUCCCAGUCCCUCCCAGUCCCUCCCAGUUUACCCAGUUCCAUUCCCAGUUGCUGGCUGUCCAUUCCCAGUCCCUCCCAGUUUACCCAGUAUCCAUUCCCAGUCCCUCCCAGUUCACCCAGUAUCCAUUCCCAGUUGCUGGCUGUCCCUCAAGCGCGGUUUCCGCUGGAGCUUCCAGGGCCCCGUGAUCGCCAUCACUGCCGUGAGUGACACCUCAGUGUCACACCUGUGCCACCUGUGUGUCACCUGUGUCACCUCACCUGUGCCACCUGUGUGUCACCUGUGUGUCACCUGUGCCACCUGUGUGUCACCCAUGUGUCACCUGUGUGUCACCUGUGUGUCACCUGUGCCACCUGUGUGUCACCCAUGUGUCACCCAUGUGUCACCUGUGUGUCACCUGUGUCACCUGUGUCACUGUGUGUCACCUGUGUCACCUAUGUGUCACCUGUGUCACUCUGUGUGUCACCUGUGUGCCACCUGUGUGUCACCUGUGUCACCCUGAAACCUCACCUGUGUCACCUGGGUGUCACCUGUGUCACCUCAGUGUCACCGUAAUGUCACUCCUCUGUCCCCAAUGUCCCCUCAGUGUCCCCAGUGUUCCCAAUCCCCCUCCAUCCCCCCACUGUCCCCAUCAUUGUCCCCAGUGUCCCCAANNNNNNNNNNNNNNNNNNNN
Molecule: long non-coding RNA, 1129 nt
Filed under: Zonotrichia albicollis (white-throated sparrow)
Lineage: Eukaryota; Metazoa; Chordata; Aves; Passeriformes; Passerellidae
Description: lncRNA (ENSZALG00000004282.1)
Source: RNAcentral